AUGCCGCGGUACAAGCAAUUACAAUUCGUGGACUGUUGCAAUGGCCUAGUCCUUUGUCAGUACUGGAACGACUAUAAAACUACCUCUUCAAAUACUUGCCGCCUCAUUGUGUGCAACCCGUCAACACGAAAGUGGAAGAGGCUUCCUGCUCCUCCCACUCACGAUCACCCAUCUGUUCACCCAAAUGACUCCUGCUUUUGCUAUACAACUUUCUUGGCCUACGAUCCAUCUUGGUCGGCACAGUUCUAUGUCUUCAGAUUUCAGCAGAAGUUCGAUAGAAGUCGGUCACUAGGUAUCCGCCAACUUGAGGUGUUCUCGCCUAGCCUAUCCACCUGGUUUGUGGAUGAUUCACAAGGUUGGGAUCGUGAUGCAUGGGGUUGGAAUUCCGUCAUACUCGCUGGUAAAUCACACUAUUUUAUGAGUGGGGUGUUAUAUUUGCAGACCAAGAGUCAUAAUAUUCUUGUGGUUGAAGGCUUGGAAGCAAUGAGUCAUCGCAUGCCAUUGCCACCCUAUCAUUUUACUAUCAUGCUACCACAUCACCACCGCGGUCUCAAGGUUGGAUGCUUUGGCCAAUCAUCGGGGCUCUUGCAGUGUGCAUUCCAAGAGGAGGGCGGCCGUACAAUUACAGUUUUCAGUCUUGAUUCUUAUCGGCCUUGCAAGUGGUCUCUGAAGCAUCGUCUUUGUAUGUGA
RNAcentral lists this ribosomal RNA (690 nucleotides) under Triticum aestivum (bread wheat). RNAcentral describes it as "partial small subunit ribosomal RNA". The record is from RNAcentral. Lineage: Eukaryota; Viridiplantae; Streptophyta; Magnoliopsida; Poales; Poaceae.